CUGCAGCCCGACUUGAGCGGAAAUCCUUUUUUGCGCUUACUCAACUUCUAUUGAAUCUGAAAUCUUUCUGCAAAAAAGAUUGGGAGCGGAAGGCGGAUUAAGC
RNAcentral lists this small RNA (103 nucleotides) under Epilithonimonas zeae. RNAcentral describes it as "Chryseobacterium zeae Flavo-1 RNA". It matches the Rfam family "Flavo-1 RNA". Lineage: Bacteria; Pseudomonadati; Bacteroidota; Flavobacteriia; Flavobacteriales; Weeksellaceae. The record is from RNAcentral.